RNAcentral lists this transfer RNA (74 nucleotides) under bacterium. RNAcentral's name for it is "tRNA-Arg". It matches the Rfam family "tRNA". From Rfam's summary of the family: Transfer RNA (tRNA) molecules are approximately 80 nucleotides in length. Their secondary structure includes four short double-helical elements and three loops (D, anti-codon, and T loops). Further hydrogen bonds mediate the characteristic L-shaped molecular structure. tRNAs have two regions of fundamental functional importance: the anti-codon, which is responsible for specific mRNA codon recognition, and the 3' end, to which the tRNAs corresponding amino acid is attached (by aminoacyl-tRNA synthetases). tRNAs cope with the degeneracy of the genetic code in two manners: having more than one tRNA (with a specific anti-codon) for a particular amino acid; and 'wobble' base-pairing, i.e. permitting non-standard base-pairing at the 3rd anti-codon position. RNAcentral also lists the same sequence under 2 other names. The record is from RNAcentral.
GCGCCUGUAGCUCAAUUGGAUAGAGCAACGGACUUCUAAUCCGUUGGUUGGCUGUUCGAGUCAGCCCAGGCGCA